UACAGAGGUCUCAAGCGUUGUUCGGAUUCAUUGGGCGUAAAGGGUGCGUAGGCGGUGGAAUAAGUUGGAUGUGAAAUCCCGGAGCUUAACUCCGGAACUGCAUUCAAUACUGUUUUGCUAGAGUACUGGAGAGGAGAUUGGAAUUCACGGUGUAGCAGUGAAAUGCGUAGAUAUCGUGAGGAAGACCAGUGGCGAAGGCGAAUCUCUGGACAGUUACUGACGCUGAGGCACGAAGGCCAGGGGAGCAAACGGG
Molecule: ribosomal RNA, 253 nt
Filed under: uncultured bacterium
Lineage: Bacteria
Description: partial 16S ribosomal RNA
Rfam family: Bacterial small subunit ribosomal RNA
Source: RNAcentral